RNAcentral lists this small RNA (687 nucleotides) under Pongo abelii (Sumatran orangutan). Its description in RNAcentral is "retained intron". Lineage: Eukaryota; Metazoa; Chordata; Mammalia; Primates; Hominidae. The record is from RNAcentral.
CUGGACACAUGGACAGCAGACUGGAUGAGCUUUGCAAUGACAUUGCAAUGAAAAAGAAAUUGGAAGAAGAGGAAGCUGAAGUAAAGAGGAAGGCUACAGAUGCUGCAUAUCAGGCUCGUCAAGCAGUAAAAACACCCCCCCGGAGGUUACCCACUGUGAUGGUUCGCUCUCCUAUAGAUUCUGCCUCCCCAGGAGGUGAUUAUCCACUUGGGGACUUGGCUCCAACCACUAUGGAAGAGGCUACCUCUGGGGUCAAUGAGAGUGAAAUGGCUGUGGCUUCUGGCCACCUGAACAGUACAGGUGUCCUCCUGGAGGUAGGCGGGGUCCUUCCCAUGAUACAUGGUGGGGAGAUACAGCAAACACCCAAUACUGUUGCAGCCUCCCCUGCUGCGUCAGGUAAGUUACCACUUUUCCUUUAUCAACCUCAAAGGUGUUGAACUUGACAUUGACUGACCUCAGUUUCACUGUUACUAAGCAGUUGUCAGUCCUAGAUUUAAAGCCCAACUUUUUCUAACUUUUUUUUGGAGCUACUUUACCUGGUAAACAAUGUAGUCUCCAUAUUAUAAAGCCAUCUAUCUUCAAGAUAGUGAUAGCCGUGAUUGACCACAGCAUGGAUAUUGAGAGUAAUAUUGAGCUGCUUUCUUAGGGCUUGCAAAAUCAAGGUGCUAGAGAUCCCUAAGAUUAUAG